UAGAUAUUACACGAUACGUGGAACUUACAAAUUGUCCAGAGGUCAUGUUGAUGCAGCCCUGCCAACUCGUACGAACUCGUGAAAAGAAAAAGGGCAUGGCGAAGUCGCCGACUUUAAAAUAAGGUACGUGGAAAAGUAGAUCUGUAUUGAUGAUUGAUGUGUUAUUUUACAAGCCUCACGAGGCACCUAUUUAUACUCUGUUACAACUGAUUUCCUAACUGACUAUGAUUUUAUCUCUAAUUCAAAAUAAUAAAAUAUUUACACACAGAUACAGCUUGCAUUCGGAGUCGGACACUACUCAACUUUCCUAUGGGCCAAUCCUCAUCUUCAUUUGGUCACCGUCCUAGCCCACUUUAGGCCCACAUCGGCCAAGCUUCUCUGACUCUCAAUCGGCUAGUCUUCAUCGAAUCCAUCACCUAAUCGGCCGAAACAUUGUAGCUCUAUCGGCCGAUUCCCCAAGCCAUAGCUUCUUGCUUAUCCGCAUCGGCCACUUUUCUCUCAUUGACGCCGACCUUAACAUGUGUCAAAAACCGACGUCAACACAUGCCCCCCAGUUUUGGAGUGAAACAUAACUUUUGCUCUGAAAUUUUGUCAACUCCGAUCCCUUCCUUCGAAGAAAGUGCAACAAUAAAUGCGGCAAAACCCUUUUCGCUCCGGAUUCUUCUCUUUGAUGAUUGCAAUUUUUUGAAUAGAGCGCCCGCAGGCAACCGCCUUUUUCGAAAUCUGUGCAGAUAACGCAGUAAAAAUUCCGCAUUUACCCUUCUCUCAAAUCGUUCUCUAAAUACUCAUCUCCUCCACCACAUCUUCUUCUCCAGAUGAAAAAGUUUCCCAUCCGGCGAAUCAUCUCCCAGCACACUACAACGCCCCUGCUUGUUCCACCUCUAGGUGCAUUUCAGUGCUUCCCGGUGACCUUCUCCCAUCUCUUCAUCAAUCGCGCCAGGCCUUCAAACCCUAAUGGCGGUUUCUUCAGCCACCAUGGCUUUCAUCCCGGAGGUACAUCCCCUAAAAUUCUCUCCUUUUUGAAUCUUCACCGUUCCGCGAUUCUUGGAUCUGUUCUUAGUCUUUCUCAUAUCUUCUCA
Molecule: long non-coding RNA, 1079 nt
Filed under: Setaria viridis
Lineage: Eukaryota; Viridiplantae; Streptophyta; Magnoliopsida; Poales; Poaceae
Description: long non-coding RNA (SVIR_LNC007735)
Source: RNAcentral